GCACCGGACUGGCGGCCGGCGCUGCGGCGUUCACGACGCUGCGGGCUCUGCUGCGGGGCGCCGCCGCUCUGGCCGGCGUCCGCGGCG
This 87-nucleotide transfer RNA is filed under the name Mycolicibacterium neoaurum. RNAcentral's name for it is "tRNA-Val". Lineage: Bacteria; Bacillati; Actinomycetota; Actinomycetes; Mycobacteriales; Mycobacteriaceae. The record is from RNAcentral.